This 486-nucleotide long non-coding RNA is filed under the name Haliotis rufescens (red abalone). RNAcentral's name for it is "uncharacterized LOC124148277, transcript variant X2". The record is from RNAcentral. Lineage: Eukaryota; Metazoa; Mollusca; Gastropoda; Lepetellida; Haliotidae.
AGAAAAUCAGUGUCUAACUGUGAUGUAGCUCAUUAAAGGCAUUUUACAUGUUUUGGCAGCUUUAGAGAUAUAAAUUGCGAAACAAUUUAGCGAGGACACUAGCCUGGCGAAAUCAGUUUCCAUAUCAGUGCUUGUAGAUAUUUGUGGCUUGGAACUUUUUCUCCAAAUUAAAACAGUUGAAUUUUUGUCGAAAUAUGUCCUAAUUGUUACCUUAUGUCCUUUUGUCGCUGUGGGUACAUCCGACUGCACUUCGUUAUGAGUACAGACUAGGGUUAGCCGACAGACCGAUGGAUUGCCGCGAAAGAAACCUUCGGAGGACUCUCAUCAACUCAAUGGGAAUACAUCGCUUGUCUUCAUUUGUGGGUACAAGUGAACAAUAAGAUGAGCCAAGGCUGAUGUUAGGUGAAUGUCCCAGUCUGGAAGCCAAGGCACGUACAGUGUGAUCUCCACAUGCAACAGAAGCUCAAAAUAAACUUAUACAUUUUU